This is a non-coding RNA of Petromyzon marinus (sea lamprey), 808 nucleotides long. The record is from RefSeq and is a predicted model, not a curated record. NCBI's taxonomy places the organism in Eukaryota, Metazoa, Chordata, Hyperoartia, Petromyzontiformes, Petromyzontidae.
CAAUAUUUUAUUGUUUCCCUUCUACGUGACUUUACCGAAAGAACCAAGACUGAGUCCCUGCAGUCACGAAAGCUUUAAAUCAUUUUUUUUUUACCUGUUAAACCCUAGGCCCUCCCCGAGACCUUACCCGUGCAACUUAAUCGUGCAGUUGAAAUCUUACAAAAAAAAACUGCUACCUUUAAACAACAAUGCACCACGAUAUUUUUAACUUCACGCGAUAUUUUGGUUUUCUCCUCACAGGAAUAGACGGCGGUACAUUUUAUUCCGCUCGUGUGCACUGUAAUGGCCUCCUCCUCAACGGCCGGUCGAAUAUUGUGACAGCGAUGUCUCCGAAUCCCACGCCGGAGAGUGUCUAUGAAGCCGUAACGAGUGCAUUGGGAAUGGUGGGAGGUGUGUGUCGGAGGCUUUGAAAGUGGGGUAUCUAUAAAUGCAUCGCCACGUGCGUGUGUGUGUGUAUACACUCGAAGGAGUGGUAGCGUAGCAGUGGUGAGCGCGAGGCGCUACGAACCUGGCAAACUGGGAACGAUUCCCCGCUCACGGCCGACACCGGUGACGACUAUCCGAACCGGUCCUGGGCCUCCCCUAGGUCGACUCUGCCUCAGAUGAGUAGCUGAUGCAGUGGUGUAAGCAUCGCUACUGGGGAUACAAAGGCGGCCCGGCGUGGUGCUGGCCACCCCACCCGCUUGUGUAACGUUCCGGCCUGGAGAAAACCAACGCGUGGCAGAAUAAGUGGUGUCCGCAUCGAUGCUGUACCUCAUCCUCCUGGCGAGCCGUGCUCGCUUAAUAAAAAAAAGGAAUGUACUUGAAA